RNAcentral lists this ribosomal RNA (253 nucleotides) under uncultured bacterium. Its description in RNAcentral is "partial 16S ribosomal RNA". It matches the Rfam family "Bacterial small subunit ribosomal RNA", at positions 524 to 776 of the family's 1533-position model. The record is from RNAcentral.
UACGGAGGGUGCUAGCGUUGUUCGGAAUUACUGGGCGUAAAGCGCACGUAGGCGGCUUUGUAAGUUAGAGGUGAAAGCCCGGGGCUCAACUCCGGAAUUGCCUUUAAGACUGCAUCGCUAGAAUUGUGGAGAGGUAAGUGGAAUUCCGAGUGUAGAGGUGAAAUUCGUAGAUAUUCGGAAGAACACCAGUGGCGAAGGCGACUUACUGGACACAUAUUGACGCUGAGGUGCGAAAGCGUGGGGAGCGAACAGG